GCGUCAUUAUCAACCCUCAAGCCUGGCUUGCUGUUGGACCUUUGUCGUCAGGACAAGUCCCAAAGAUAAUGACAGAGUUGUCGGACCCUAGAUGCAACGAGCUUUCAUUAGCACGCAUGGAUGGACCGAUUGCUCUGGUCUUAACCAAUAUUUUUUAUCAGGUUGACCUCGGAUCAGGUAGGAAUACCCGCUGAACUUAA
This 200-nucleotide unclassified non-coding RNA is filed under the name soil metagenome. RNAcentral describes it as "partial contains internal transcribed spacer 2 and large subunit ribosomal RNA". The record is from RNAcentral.